Molecule: ribosomal RNA, 776 nt
Filed under: fungal sp.
Lineage: Eukaryota; Fungi
Description: eukaryotic LSU rRNA
Rfam family: Eukaryotic large subunit ribosomal RNA (bases 486-776)
Source: RNAcentral
GGUGACCUGCGGAGGGACAUUACAAGAACGCCCGGGCUUCGGCCUGGUUAUUCAUAACCCUUUGUUGUCCGACUCUGUUGCCUCCGGGGCGACCCUGCCUUCGGGCGGGGGCUCCGGGUGGACACUUCAAACUCUUGCGUAACUUUGCAGUCUGAGUAAACUUAAUUAAUAAAUUAAAACUUUUAACAACGGAUCUCUUGGUUCUGGCAUCGAUGAAGAACGCAGCGAAAUGCGAUAAGUAAUGUGAAUUGCAGAAUUCAGUGAAUCAUCGAAUCUUUGAACGCACAUUGCGCCCCCUGGUAUUCCGGGGGGCAUGCCUGUUCGAGCGUCAUUUCACCACUCAAGCCUCGCUUGGUAUUGGGCAACGCGGUCCGCCGCGUGCCUCAAAUCGUCCGGCUGGGUCUUCUGUCCCCUAAGCGUUGUGGAAACUAUUCGCUAAAGGGUGUUCGGGAGGCUACGCCGUAAAACAACCCCAUUUCUAAGGUUGACCUCGGAUCAGGUAGGGAUACCCGCUGAACUUAAGCAUAUCAAUAAGCGGAGGAAAAGAAACCAACAGGGAUUGCUCUAGUAACGGCGAGUGAAGCAGCAAUAGCUCAAAUUUGAAAUCUGGCGUCUUCGACGUCCGAGUUGUAAUUUGUAGAGGAUGCUUCUGAGUGGCCACCGACCUAAGUUCCUUGGAACAGGACGUCAUAGAGGGUGAGAAUCCCGUAUGCGGUCGGAAAGGCGCUCUAUACGUAGCUCCUUCGACGAGUCGAGUUGUUUGGGAAUGCAGCUCU